GGGAAAAGCUGAAAGGGAAAGAAGAAGAAGUAGCGUACGGCUGAAGCCCCAAAUAAUGAGAAACGCUCAAGAUUUAACGGUUUUAAUGGAAGGUAAAGAAAGUCUCAGGCUGACAGAAAUGGCAGGGAGGUCCUCCAGUCAGCAGAUGGCAGUCUCAGAGCUAGGCAGAAGCACAACAUGAGUUAGAUUUGGAACAGGAAGAAGGGGAAAUUCAGCUGGAAGUCUGUAAUGCAGCUCAUAUGAAAUUUUAGGGCUUCUGUAGCUCCAAAAGGGAGAGACACAACAAGGUUCAUUGGGAGGAGAUGAGAGGCUGCUGGAGGAGGAAGACUGCACGGCAACAGGAGAUCCACAAUUGGUGAGGAACCAGCCAUCCUCUGGGACUCCAAAAACAGCAAAAAGAUCUGGCAAGGAAGCACCAUAAACCAGCUCCAGGGAAAAACUAACUCAGGUCAGGUCCAAAAACAGGUGAAAAUAUCAGGCAAUAACACAGGAGCCUGGCUGGAGGUAAUAGAAGACUCAGCACACUCUGGCAGUAGAGACCAGUCAGAAGCAGAAUAUACAGGAGGUGCCACAGGUGUAGAGAAUUACUAACCAGGAGGGUGAGGCUGGAGGCACAAUCCUGACAAGACGUGUGCUUGCUCUCAGCUAACGUGAUCAUUCAGAUCCUAUCAAGCGCUCAAUAGGAGGUACAAAUGCAUGAAACCUUUGCCCACUCAGCGAAUCUGGCCUGGAAAGGAUGAAGCAUCAACGUUUAACACUUUUGAAAGCAGCUUGCAGCUCCUCACAACGCCAACCCAAAAUUAGCGGUGCAUGAAAGAUGGUGGAUCCAUCAGAAUGUAGCGGAGCUGAGAGACUGUGGCCCGCCAUUGUAGGUCCUACAUUACAACUACAAGCAUUGUUCAACAGCACUUGUUGAAAUACACACUUUUUAAAAUAAA
Molecule: long non-coding RNA, 938 nt
Organism: Oryzias melastigma (Indian medaka)
Lineage: Eukaryota; Metazoa; Chordata; Actinopteri; Beloniformes; Adrianichthyidae
Exons: 3
Source: RefSeq, a predicted model, not a curated record